RNAcentral lists this ribosomal RNA (516 nucleotides) under uncultured bacterium. Its description in RNAcentral is "bacterial SSU rRNA". It matches the Rfam family "Bacterial small subunit ribosomal RNA", at positions 30 to 526 of the family's 1533-position model. The record is from RNAcentral.
AUUGAACGCUAGUGGUAUGCUUAACACAUGCAAGUCGAACGGCAGCAUCAUAUAGGGUAACCUAUAUGGAUGGCGAGUGGCGGACGGGUGAGUAAUACGUAAGAAUCUACCUUGGUGAGAGGGAUAACUUCGAGAAAUCGAAGCUAAUUCCACAUAAUGUUGUAAAACCAAAAGCAGGGGAUCCAUAAGGACCUUGCGCACUGAGAUGAGCUUACGGCGGAUUAGCUAGUUGGUAGAGUAAAAGCCUACCAAGGCGAUGAUACGUAGCGGGUCUUAUGAGGAUGGCCCGCCACACUGGGACUGAGACACGGCCCAGACUCCUACGGGAGGCAGCAGUGGGGAAUCUUGGACAAUGGGGGAAACCCUGAUCCAGCAAUACCACGUGUGUGAAGAAGGCCUUCGGGUUGUAAAGCACUUUAGGGGGGGAAGAAGUAGCUUAUACUAAUAAUAUAAGUCUAUUGACGGUACCCUCAGAAUAAGUACCGGCUAACUCUGUGCCAGCCGCCGCCGUAAAAC